CUUCAGAUGGAAAAAUUUUAGAUUCUGCAGCUCUCAAGCAGAGUUCUGUGACAUUCUUCGAUGUUGAGAAGCCGGAAACUGCCUCUUUGUGGUGGGCAAGGGCUAGGACUAGGCUGCGAAGAUUGGAAAAGGUUUGUCUAAGGAUGAGAAAGCACAAAAGUUAGCUCUUCAACAUUGGCUUGAAGCUGUUGAAACUGAAUUUGAACAACAAUGGGAAGAUGGUAAGGCGGAAGAAUGGAAAAAUGCGAUUCACAAUGGUGAACAUGUUUGGGGUUAGCAGACUGUUAUUCAUGUUCACUAUUUUAGCACAGUAGAAGAUAAACAGCUAAAAGAGGUAAUGGUGAUAUUAGAAACUUAAAGUGAGUUAAUAACUACUUUUAAAAGCUUAAAAUCAGUAACAGGUCUGAAGGUGAUGAGAUAAUUGAUUCCCUUGAACCAGAGAUAGCUCAUUCUUCACCAAUAUGUUGGUCUAAAUUUGCUUAUGGGAUUCAAAAGUCUACAGUUUGUUACCAAAUGUUUUAAUUUUUACAGGUUACUCUUUUUGAUGCAAAUGUUCCAAACUGAUAGCAUCCACUUAUCACAACCUAAAAACUUGCAGCAGUUUUCUUUUCUAUUUGAUCUUCAGCUUAGAAAAAAAAUUUGUUUACAGGGAACUACAAUCAAUAAACUUUUAGCAGAAAAUGCAACUUCAGAAUUCUACAAAGGGAUGCUUUUAUUCAUAUCUAAACUCCUUAUCUGAUGUUUAUACUUCUUCACUGCUUUAAACUCACAGCAGUAUGGUUUUUUCUUUCAUGUUCACCUUACAAAAAUGAUUUGUUGAGAGUUUAAAAUUUCUUCCAUGUGCUCACUUUCAAUAAUUUGACGUGCAUUUAUGCUUUCUAUUUUGUAUUUUGUGAAUGAGUUAAUAGCAAUAACAUGUUAUAAUUGAAAUCAUGCUCUGUUUUAACGUGAUAUGUCGUCAUGUGUGCUUAAGCUGUUCUGACCAUAAUGACAUUAAGAGAUUGACUGUAGUAUCUUGAUGUCAGGGUCAAGUGAGAAAUUGCUUUUAGAUGAAGAGAACAGAAGUCAAUGCGACAUGAAUAACUGAGGGAACCCAUUCAAAGCAUCUGAAGCAUGGAUAGAGUGCCUAAUGAAAAAAUGAAAAGCUUUUCAUCAGCAAGGUGAUGUGGCAAUAACAGCUUAGACUGAGGAACAGCAGCAUGAGAUGAAUAUCCAUGCAGAUCGUGUAUCAUUAUGCAACAUCCAUCAAACACUUCUCAUUAUUGUAUUCUGUUUAUUCCUUCAUUAAACUAUGUAUACCAAGUUUGAUUUCUCCAUCAGAAUCAGUAAUAAGUUCAAACCAAACAAAA
Molecule: long non-coding RNA, 1349 nt
Organism: Rosa rugosa (rugosa rose)
Lineage: Eukaryota; Viridiplantae; Streptophyta; Magnoliopsida; Rosales; Rosaceae
Exons: 4
Source: RefSeq, a predicted model, not a curated record